Long non-coding RNA from Brassica napus (rape), 1405 nucleotides. RefSeq lists it as uncharacterized. The transcript is spliced from 2 exons. The record is from RefSeq and is a predicted model, not a curated record. Lineage: Eukaryota; Viridiplantae; Streptophyta; Magnoliopsida; Brassicales; Brassicaceae.
UUGACUAUUAAAUAUAUUAUCGGAUUAGGAACUUGGAUUUGUUAGGAUAAAUUGGAUGGAUAUUGUUAAGAAAUUUUAUGAUCUAAUCUAUUUAUGUUAUACACUGUAGAAGCUUUUGUUUUUGAAACAUUUUGUAAUAAAAAAAAACAAAAUAUUUGUAGACAUUCAAAAUGUUACAUCAUUAAACUAUAUAUAUAAUAUAUAUACAGUGAAACGUCUAUAAAUUAAUAAUGUUGGGUUUAGAGCAAAACUAUAAAUUUUUUUAUUAAUAUAUAGAGAUAUUAAUUUAUAGAUAUACUAAUUAAAUCAAAAAUUCGAUUUGAGACUAUAAAAUAUAGAGAUUUUCGGUUUAUAUUAAUUUUCAGAUUUUUCAGAUCUCGGCGUUUCUUCCAAGUUGACUCAGUGGGAGUCCUCCUCCUUAGUCGGUGUGACUUUCGGCGGAGAUUGGUAGGUUUCUCCGGUUCUCCGGAAGCAUCGUUUUCAUCCUGGGCCCUACAUCCCAGCGCCGGCGAUGGAUCUCCGGUCUCGUCCGGUGUUUGCUGUUCCGGUUAUCGUUGCUGUCAUCGGGUCCGCUUUCAGUGUAUUUUGGCGUUGGAGCGAGUAUCGAGUCCGGUGGUGGCGGUUUGUUUACAUCCGCCGCCUACCACAUUGAAGCUGUGCCUUUCCACUUCAAUGUAAUCUCUUCUUCUCCUCUGUCCUCUGUGAACCUGAGUUGCGAUGCCUUGGCCUGCUCUGCUCUCGUAUGUGGAUCUCGGAUUGGUGUUGGCUGUAACAUGAGCGGUAUGAGGCAAGAGUUGGUCCCUGGUUCUGUGUCAAUCAGUCUUGGUUGAUGGGUUCGGCAUUGUCUGGAUACCGAGUCUGCUUUUGCUCGUCUUGGAUACAUAUACAGGCUAGGCCAUCAUGACUUGGUCAUAAUAUUUGGAGCAAGACUCAUUUGCACUGUUUUGGCUUGCACUCACGAAUAGCUGCGACCCCACCAAAUGAGCUUCAUAAUUUUUCUUUCUUACACUUAUUAGCAUUAUUGUUUCUUUUUGAUACAGGUUUUACAAAAUUAUCAUGGAAAAUACUUGUUGAUUUGUUUAGUUGCAGAGAUCAUCUCUGUACUAACUAAAAUUUUGACUCUCUUUGUCUUCUGCACAAAACACAACACAGCGACCAAAUGGUAUUAUUUCUCUUCUCUUCACUCAGAUAUCUCUACCUCAGGGGACUUGUCUUGUUGCUUCUCAAGUGAUAUCAAGAUCAUCAACUUUGAGGGCACGAUCUUUGAUGGGGGAGGAGUAUUAACACUAAACACCUUGUAUGACAAAACUAUGAGUUGUAUAAUGUAUAUCUUUGUAUAAUGUAUAUCUAGUCCACUUACAUUGUUGUUGGCUUGGAAAUUUUCAAAGUAGAGUUGAGAGGGAGA